This 496-nucleotide ribosomal RNA is filed under the name uncultured bacterium. RNAcentral's name for it is "partial 16S ribosomal RNA". It matches the Rfam family "Bacterial small subunit ribosomal RNA", at positions 28 to 506 of the family's 1533-position model. The record is from RNAcentral.
GAUGAACGCUGGCGGCGUGCCUAAUACAUGCAAGUCGAGCGAACGGACGAGAAGCUUGCUUCUCUGAUGUUAGCGGCGGACGGGUGAGUAACACGUGGAUAACCUACCUAUAAGACUGGGAUAACUUCGGGAAACCGGAGCUAAUACCGGAUAAUAUUUUGAACCGCAUGGUUCAAAAGUGAAAGACGGUCUUGCUGUCACUUAUAGAUGGAUCCGCGCUGCAUUAGCUAGUUGGUAAGGUAACGGCUUACCAAGGCAACGAUGCAUAGCCGACCUGAGAGGGUGAUCGGCCACACUGGAACUGAGACGCGGUCCAGACUCCUACGGGAGGCAGCAGUAGGGAAUCUUCCGCAAUGGGCGAAAGCCUGACGGAGCAACGCCGCGUGAGUGAUGAAGGUCUUCGGAUCGUAAAACUCUGUUAUUAGGGAAGAACAUAUGUGUAAGUAACGGUGCACAUCUGGACGGUACCUAAGCAGAAAGCCACGGCUAACUACGG